GAUGAACGCUAGCGGGAGGCCUAACACAUGCAAGCCGAGCGGUAGAGAUCUUUCGGGAUCUUGAGAGCGGCGUACGGGUGCGGAACACGUGUGCAACCUGCCUUUAUCUGGGGGAUAGCCUUUCGAAAGGAAGAUUAAUACCCCAUAAUAUACUGAAUGGCAUCAUUCGGUAUUGAAAACUCCGGUGGAUAGAGAUGGGCACGCGCAAGAUUAGAUAGUUGGUGAGGUAACGGCUCACCAAGUCUACGAUCUUUAGGGGGCCUGAGAGGGUGAUCCCCCACACUGGUACUGAGACACGGACCAGACUCCUACGGGAGGCAGCAGUGAGGAAUAUUGGACAAUGGGUGAGAGCCUGAUCCAGCCAUCCCGCGUGAAGGACGACGGCCCUAUGGGUUGUAAACUUCUUUUGUAUAGGGAUAAACCUACCCUCGUGAGGGUAGCUGAAGGUACUAUACGAAUAAGCACCGGCUAACUCCGUGCCAGCAGCCGCGGUAAUACGGAGGGUGCAAGCGUUAUCCGGAUUUAUUGNGUUUAAAGGGUCCGUAGGCGGAUCUGUAAGUCAGUGGUGAAAUCUCACAGCUUAACUGUGAAACUGCCAUUGAUACUGCAGGUCUUGAGUGNUGUUGAANUANCUGGAAUAANUAGUGUAGCGGUGAAAUGCAUAGAUAUUACUUAGAACACCAAUUGCGAA
This 691-nucleotide ribosomal RNA is filed under the name uncultured prokaryote. Its description in RNAcentral is "bacterial SSU rRNA". It matches the Rfam family "Bacterial small subunit ribosomal RNA", at positions 28 to 719 of the family's 1533-position model. The record is from RNAcentral.